Molecule: ribosomal RNA, 467 nt
Filed under: uncultured bacterium
Lineage: Bacteria
Description: partial 16S ribosomal RNA
Rfam family: Bacterial small subunit ribosomal RNA
Source: RNAcentral
GAUGAACGCUGGCGGCGUGCUUAACACAUGCAAGUCGAACGGAAAGGCCCAAGCUUGCUUGGGUACUCGAGUGGCGAACGGGUGAGUAACACGUGGGUGAUAUGCCCUGCACUUCGGGAUAAGCCUUGGAAACUGGGUCUAAUACCGGAUAGGACGAUGGUUUGGAUGCCAUUGUGGACAGUUUUUUCGGUUUGGGAUUAGUUCGCGGCCUAUCCGCUUAUUGGUGGAGUAAUGGCCUACCAAGGCGUCGGCGGGAAGCCGGCCAGUGAGGGUGUACGGCGACACUGGGUCCGAGGGAAGGCCCAGACGGGGACGGGAGGGAGAUGGGGGGAAUACUGAACAAGGGGCGCCAGCUGGAUGCAGAGAGGCUGCGGGUGGGAGGACGGCCUUAGGGGGGAAAAAGCAAUGCGCUAGGGACGAUGCGCGUUGUGACGGUACCUGGAGAAGAAGCACCGGCUAACUACGUG